Molecule: ribosomal RNA, 323 nt
Filed under: uncultured eukaryote
Lineage: Eukaryota
Description: partial 18S ribosomal RNA
Rfam family: Eukaryotic small subunit ribosomal RNA
Source: RNAcentral
CCCUUAGAUGUUCUGGGCUGCACGCGUACUACAAUGGAACUCGCAUCGAGUCGCGAAACUGAGAAGUUAAGCGAAUCUUGGAAUGUGUUCCGUGACCGGGACAGUUGAUUGCAAUUAUUCAACUCGAACGAGGAAUUCCUUGUAAUCGUGAUUCAUCAUAUCGCGAUGAAUACGUCCCUGCCCUUUGUACACACCGCCCGUCGCUCCUACCGAUUGGGUGGUCCGGUGAAGCGUUCGGACCGUGGCCUUUGGACGGUUCGCCGUCUGUUGGCUGCGGGAAGUUCGUUAAACCUUAUCAUUUAGAGGAAGGAGAANUCGUAACA